This 459-nucleotide ribosomal RNA is filed under the name uncultured bacterium. RNAcentral describes it as "partial 16S ribosomal RNA". It matches the Rfam family "Bacterial small subunit ribosomal RNA", at positions 339 to 795 of the family's 1533-position model. The record is from RNAcentral.
CUACGGGAGGCUCCAGUGAGGAAUAUUGGUCAAUGGGCGCGAGCCUGAACCAGCCAUCCCGCGUGCAGGAUGACGGCCCUAUGGGUUGUAAACUGCUUUUCUAUGCCAAGAAACCCUGUUACGAGUAACAGGUUGCCGGUAGCAUAGGAAUAAGCAUCGGCUAACUCCGUGCCAGCAGCCGCGGUAAUACGGAGGAUGCAAGCGUUAUCCGGAUUCAUUGGGUUUAAAGGGUGCGCAGGUGGGCUUGUAAGUCAGUGGUGAAAUGCUGCCGCUUAACGGUAGAACUGCCAUUGAUACUGCGAGUCUUGAGUAUGGUUGAGGUAGGCGGAAUGUGUUGUGUAGCGGUGAAAUGCAUAGAUAUGACACAGAACGCCAAUUGCGAAGGCAGCUUACUAAGCCAUUACUGACGCUGAGGCACGAAAGCGUGGGGAGCGAACAGGAUUAGAUACCCCUGUAGUC